CCUACGAGCGGCAGCAGUGGGGAAUAUUGCACAAUGGGGGAAACCCUGAUGCAGCGACGCCGCGUGAGUGAAGAAGUAUUUCGGUAUGUACAGCUCUAUCAGCAGGGAAGAAAAUGACGGUAACUGAUUAAGAAGCCCCGGCUAACUACGUGCCAGCAGCCGCGGGAAUACGUAGGGGGCAAGCGUGAUCCGGAUUUACUGGGUGUAAAGGGAGCGUAGACGGCAGCACAAGUCUGGAGUGAAAGGCCGGGGCUUAACCCCGGAACUGCUGUGGAAACUGUGCAGCUAGAGUGCAGGAGAGGUAAGUGGAAUUCCUAGUGUAGCGGUGAAAUGCGUAGAUAUUAGGAGGAACACCAGUGGCGAAGGCGGCUUACUGGACUGUAACUGACGUUGAGGCUCGAAAGCGUGGGGAGCAAACAGGAUUAGAUACCCUUGUAGUC
Molecule: ribosomal RNA, 440 nt
Filed under: uncultured bacterium
Lineage: Bacteria
Description: partial 16S ribosomal RNA
Rfam family: Bacterial small subunit ribosomal RNA
Source: RNAcentral